UACGAAGGGGGCUAGCGUUGCUCGGAAUCACUGGGCGUAAAGGGUGCGUAGGUGGGUCUUUUAAGUCAGAGGUGAAAUCCUGGAGCUCAACUCCAGAACUGCCUUUGAUACUGAGGAUCUUGAGUUCGGGAGAGGUGGAGUGGAACUGCGAGUGUAGAGGUGAAAUUCGUAGAUAUUCGCAAGAACACCAGUGGCGAAGGCGGCUCACUGGCCCGGUACUGACGCUGAGGUGCGAAAGCG
Molecule: ribosomal RNA, 240 nt
Filed under: uncultured bacterium
Lineage: Bacteria
Description: partial 16S ribosomal RNA
Rfam family: Bacterial small subunit ribosomal RNA
Source: RNAcentral